Molecule: RNA transcript, 621 nt
Organism: Propithecus coquereli (Coquerel's sifaka)
Lineage: Eukaryota; Metazoa; Chordata; Mammalia; Primates; Indriidae
Gene name: heat shock factor-binding protein 1 pseudogene
Exons: 1
Source: RefSeq, a predicted model, not a curated record
AUGGCUGAGACUGACCCUGAGACCAUGCAGGAUCUCACCUUGGUGGUACAGAUACUUCUGCAGCAGAUGCAAGAUAAAUUUCAGGCCAUGUCUGACCAGAUCAUUGGAAGAACUGAUGAUAUGAGUAGUCGCACUGAUGAUCUGGAGAGAAACAUCGCAGACUUCAUGACACAGGCUGGAGUGGAAGAACUGGAAGGUGAAAACAAGAUACCUGCCACACAAAAGGGUUGAAGUUUGCUAAUAAUUUACACUGAAAUGUGGAAUACCGUCUUUCAAGCCAAGAGAAGAUUGAAUGGCUUUUUGCAGCUAACUACUAUGUGUAGACAGGUUUUGUAUUAUAAAAUGUCCACUCUUAUCACAUACUACAUAGUUUAUAGAGUGAUUUAUCCCCCAGUUUCUUGAACAUGGUAUUUUCACAUCUUGCAUCUUGGUCAGUUGUGCUAUUAAUUAUUAAACACUGAAUCACUGGUGUUUCCUACAAAAAAAAAAAAAAAAGAAAAAGGAAAGAAGCCUGGGUGACACAAAAGGGGAACUGAGUUCUUGAAAGUGAUUUGGGUGAAGUGGAUGAUAGAACUGAGGACAGAACUUAAAGACAGGCAAAAAUAAGACCCAGGUCUGCAG